Trichoderma atroviride IMI 206040 is the source of this 111-nucleotide transfer RNA. It matches the Rfam family "tRNA". Rfam says of the family: Transfer RNA (tRNA) molecules are approximately 80 nucleotides in length. Their secondary structure includes four short double-helical elements and three loops (D, anti-codon, and T loops). Lineage: Eukaryota; Fungi; Ascomycota; Sordariomycetes; Hypocreales; Hypocreaceae. The record is from Rfam.
GGCACUUUGGCCGAGUGGUCUAAGGCGCCGUGUUCAGGUACAGCUCCAAGCAAUUGAAGCAUCCUAUUCGCGGUCUAGAAAUAGGCGAGGGUUCGAAUCCCUCAGGUGUCA